RNAcentral lists this ribosomal RNA (110 nucleotides) under Staphylococcus aureus. RNAcentral's name for it is "partial 23S ribosomal RNA". It matches the Rfam family "Bacterial large subunit ribosomal RNA", at positions 1 to 110 of the family's 2925-position model. The record is from RNAcentral. Lineage: Bacteria; Bacillati; Bacillota; Bacilli; Caryophanales; Staphylococcaceae. RNAcentral also lists the same sequence under 1 other name.
GAUUAAGUUAUUAAGGGCGCACGGUGGAUGCCUUGGCACUAGAAGCCGAUGAAGGACGUUACUAACGACGAUAUGCUUUGGGGAGCUGUAAGUAAGCUUUGAUCCAGAGA